CAACCUGCCUUUCAGAGGGGGAUAACAGUUGGAAACGACUGCUAAUACCGCAUAACGCUGCGAUGGGGCAUCCCGAUGCAGCCAAAGGAGCAAUCCGCUGAAAGAUGGGCUCGCGGCCGAUUAGCUAGUUGGUGGGGCAACGGCCCACCAAGGCGACGAUCGGUAGCCGGACUGAGAGGUUGAUCGGCCACAUUGGGACUGAGACACGGCCCAGACUCCUACGGGAGGCAGCAG
This 234-nucleotide ribosomal RNA is filed under the name uncultured bacterium. RNAcentral's name for it is "partial 16S ribosomal RNA". It matches the Rfam family "Bacterial small subunit ribosomal RNA", at positions 122 to 354 of the family's 1533-position model. The record is from RNAcentral.